Molecule: transfer RNA, 82 nt
Filed under: Ipomoea nil (Japanese morning glory)
Lineage: Eukaryota; Viridiplantae; Streptophyta; Magnoliopsida; Solanales; Convolvulaceae
Rfam family: tRNA
About the family: Transfer RNA (tRNA) molecules are approximately 80 nucleotides in length. Their secondary structure includes four short double-helical elements and three loops (D, anti-codon, and T loops). Further hydrogen bonds mediate the characteristic L-shaped molecular structure. tRNAs have two regions of fundamental functional importance: the anti-codon, which is responsible for specific mRNA codon recognition, and the 3' end, to which the tRNAs corresponding amino acid is attached (by aminoacyl-tRNA synthetases). tRNAs cope with the degeneracy of the genetic code in two manners: having more than one tRNA (with a specific anti-codon) for a particular amino acid; and 'wobble' base-pairing, i.e. permitting non-standard base-pairing at the 3rd anti-codon position.
Source: Rfam by way of RNAcentral
GUGGGCGUGCCGGAGUGGUUAUUGGGCAUGACUAGAAAUCAUGUGGGCUUUGCCCGCGCAGGUUCGAAUCCUGCCACUCACG